Molecule: long non-coding RNA, 1686 nt
Organism: Aquila chrysaetos chrysaetos
Lineage: Eukaryota; Metazoa; Chordata; Aves; Accipitriformes; Accipitridae
Exons: 2
Source: RefSeq, a predicted model, not a curated record
CUCUGGGCAUUGACCCAUAGACCCUUUGUAAAAGCAGACAUACACAUUCAGAUAAUUACUUCAGUACCCAGAUAUCCCAGAACUACCAGAUGAUUUGCAGGGUGCCUUCGCAGAAUAAGAAGUAACAAAAGAGCGGGCAUUGUAGCCAGCGGGGCAGGUUUAGCAAAAAUGGCUGAGAGGAGACCCAAGGCAAGAGGUUUUUCCAGAGAGGUCUGAGCAGAAAUAUAGACAGGUUUCAGCGCGGAGGGCAGAGGGGGGAAACAUGGUCGGGCUCUGCUGAAGAGCAGCGAAGGAAAAGAAGGAAAAAAGUGUUUUGCUGGGAGGGAGGCAGGCGCUAAGGAAAGGAGAGGGGAAAGGCUUUUCUCGGGAAGCGCUGAGGAGGGAGAGGGGACGCGUUUAGGCGGGAAACGCUGGGUGCCAGAAGGGCUUCCUCUGCACGCGCCGCGGCGAGACGUGAGGCGGGAAGAUCUGAGGAGAGGGGAGCGGUUUGCCGUAACGGCUGAGGGGAGGGAGAGGGAAAGAUUUUGUCGGAAAAGUCGAGGGAAUGGUGAGGAAAAGGCUUUUUUUUUUUUUUUUUUUUUUUUUUUUUUUAAUGGGAAAUGCAAGAGAAGAGGGGGAGAGGUUUUUACCAGGACGCGCUAUGGGCGGGCGAGGCUUUUGUGCAAGGUGCUGAGAGGAGAGCGACGGGUUGUGUGAGCGGAUGCUGAAGGUGCUGAAAGGCGGAAAGAGGCUCCGCUGGAAGUGCUGAGGGGAGGUAGAGAGAAACGAUUUGUCAGGAAGCGCUGGAUGUAUGAGGGAGGAGACGUUUUGUAGGGAAAUGUCAAGGGGGUAGUGGGGAAAGGCUUGCUGAGGAAAGCGCUGGAGGGAAAACGCUUUUGUGCGAAGCACAAGGGGAGGGAGGAAAGAAUUAGCUGGGAAGCACUAAAGGCAAAGAGGGGAAAGAGAUUUGUGGGAAGUGCUUAGGGGAGAGAAAGGAAAAGCUUUUCUCAGGAAGUGCUGAGGUGAUAGUGGGGAAGGAAUUACUCAGAAAGCACAAAGGGAAAAAAGUCUUAAUGGGAGGCAAAAAAUAUUUUAAGAAAGCCCUGAAAAGAGAGAAAGUAACCCUUACUGUGCAGGCAGAGUCCUGCCUCACUAGGUGAAGUUCAGCUGGGCUGGGGAAUAGAGUUGUUUCUUCGUUGUCCUGAUCUUGUCUCCUGUAUUUCUCUUGCUCCCGGUUCCCCGCUCCUGCCAUGCAGAAUGAGCAAGACGAGGAAGGCUUUGGAGAAACUGCAAGCAACGAGCGAGAAGAAUCUGCAGGCUGUUUACAAGGCCAGUGAUGCAAGUCCCAGAAGAGGGAGGAGAAGAACCCAGGACAGUGGCACUUCUCUGAAGCUGUCUCAUUGCUCAAGCACUGAAGAGUACUGGAGUCAGCUGAAACAGUGCAAGUAAACCCAGGUGGGAAAGCACAAUGACGUGGAAGAGGGAAAAGAUGACGAAAGUCUCAGAGGAAAAUGGAAUUGGUCUGGGCUGAGCAAGGAGUGCCAUGAUCAUUUUGACCUGUAUGUGAGCAAAACAAUCCUGAAAUCAGUGUAUUUUACCAGUCAGUGGGUACAUAAAUAACUCCUAGUUUUGGUCAUUCUUAUUUGAACAGUUUUCAGUAAAAGCGUGAAUUAAAACGCAGAAUUCCGCGAUUAAGCAUAACAGAAA